AUUGAACGCUGGCGGCAUGCUUUACACAUGCAAGUCGGACGGCAGCGGGGUAGUGCUUGCACUACUGCCGGCGAGUGGCGAACGGGUGAGUAAUAUAUUGGAACGUACCGAGUAAUGGGGGAUAACCAAUCGAAAGAUUGGCUAAUACCGCAUACGCUCUGAGGAGGAAAGCAGGGGACCUUCGGGCCUUGCGUUAUUCGAGCGGCCAAUAUCUGAUUAGCUAGUUGGUGGGGUAAGGGCCUACCAAGGCGACGAUCAGUAGCGGGUCUGAGAGGAUGAGCCGCCACACUGGGACUGAGACACGGCCCAGACUCCUACGGGAGGCAGCAGUGGGGAAUUUUGGACAAUGGGCGCAAGCCUGAUCCAGCCAUGCCGCGUGUCUGAAGAAGGCCUUCGGGUUGUAAAGGACUUUUGUUAGGGAAGAAAAAGGAGCGGUUAAUACCCGUUUCUGCUGACGGUACCUAAAGAAUAAGCACCGGCUAACUACGU
This 489-nucleotide ribosomal RNA is filed under the name uncultured bacterium. RNAcentral describes it as "partial 16S ribosomal RNA". It matches the Rfam family "Bacterial small subunit ribosomal RNA", at positions 30 to 506 of the family's 1533-position model. The record is from RNAcentral.